RNAcentral lists this ribosomal RNA (673 nucleotides) under Pseudocyclops schminkei. RNAcentral's name for it is "eukaryotic LSU rRNA". It matches the Rfam family "Eukaryotic large subunit ribosomal RNA", at positions 87 to 667 of the family's 3401-position model. Lineage: Eukaryota; Metazoa; Arthropoda; Copepoda; Calanoida; Pseudocyclopidae. The record is from RNAcentral.
UGGCGAAUGAAACGGGAACAGCCCAUCGUCGAACUGCAGGCCUUCAUCGGUCUAGCGGAAUGUGACGUUCGGGAGAGUCUUCUCGCGGCGUGGACAGCCAGUCAAAGUCCAACUUGACAGUGGCCACUGCCCGUAGAGGGUGAUAGGCCCGUAAGGCGGCCGUCCUGCCGUGCCGACUUUUCCCCAGAGUCGGGUUGCUUGGAAGUGCAGCCCAAAGUGCCAGGUAAACUCCUGGUAAGGCUAAAUAUGACCCCGAGACCGAUAGCGAACAAGUACCGUGAGGGAAAAUUGAAAAGAACUUUGAAGAGAGAGUUCAAAAGUACGUGAAACUGUGCUGUGGCAAACGGAGGGGUUCUCGAAGUCUCGCGGUGGAACUCAACCUUGGUGGCGGGCCAGGUGUGGCGUGUUGGAUCAGCGAUGACCACGCGUUGCCUUGUGGCUCGUCUCUCGGGCGCACUUUCCGCCGCGUUCACGACAGGAACUGUUGGGGCUUGAACCUUAGGCCUGGGAAGAAGUUGUGGUUUGGCUUCGGCCGUCUGCAGCUCCCGGUGACCCGGCUUCGGCCCCGACAGGUAGGUAAGAGGGCGCGUAUAGCGCGCGGCUUUCUGCCGCGGCUCUCGUCUCCCUGUCGAGUAGGUCGGCGACCCCUCCGACCCGUCUUGAAACACGGACC